Molecule: ribosomal RNA, 494 nt
Filed under: uncultured bacterium
Lineage: Bacteria
Description: partial 16S ribosomal RNA
Rfam family: Bacterial small subunit ribosomal RNA
Source: RNAcentral
GACGAACGCUGGCGGCGUGCUUAACACAUGCAAGUCGAACGGUGAAGCGCCUUCCUUUUUGGUGGGUGUGGAUGAGUGGCGAACGGGUGAGUAACACGUGAGUAACCUGCCCCCUUCUUCUGGAUAACCGCAUGAAAGUGUGGCUAAUACGGGAUAUUCUGGGUCUGUCGCAUGAUGGGUCUGGGAAAGAUAUUGUUUCGGUGGGGGAUGGGCUCUCGGCCUAUCAGCUUGUUGGUGGGGUGAUGGCCUACCAAGGCGGUGACGGGUAGCCGGCCUGAGAGGGUGGACGGUCACACUGGGACUGAGACACGGCCCAGACUCCUACGGGAGGCAGCAGUGGGGAAUAGUGCACAAUGGGCGAAAGCCUGAUGCAGCGACGCCGCGUGAGGGAUGGAGGCCUUCGGGUUGUGAACCUCUUUCGCCAGUGAAGCAGGCCUGCCUCGUUUGUGGGUGGGUUGACGGUAGCUGGAUAAGAAGCGCCGGCUAACUACGUG